This 72-nucleotide transfer RNA is filed under the name Chrysemys picta bellii (western painted turtle). RNAcentral describes it as "tRNA-Glu (TTC) (tRNA-Glu-TTC-13-1)". It matches the Rfam family "tRNA". Rfam says of the family: Transfer RNA (tRNA) molecules are approximately 80 nucleotides in length. Lineage: Eukaryota; Metazoa; Chordata; Testudines; Emydidae. The record is from Rfam by way of RNAcentral.
UCCCAUAUGGUCUAAUGGUCAGGAUUCCUGGUUUUCACUCAAGUAGUCUGGGUUCAACUCCCAGUGUGGGAA